RNAcentral lists this long non-coding RNA (231 nucleotides) under Elaeis guineensis (African oil palm). RNAcentral describes it as "long non-coding RNA (EGUI_LNC049250)". Lineage: Eukaryota; Viridiplantae; Streptophyta; Magnoliopsida; Arecales; Arecaceae. The record is from RNAcentral.
UUAUAUUGUUUAAUUAUUUCUUCUGUUAUAAUAGGGAUAAUCUCAUGUUCACUACAUAUUGAGAUGGUUUUUUCAACUACCUUGACUCUGUUAUUUGGGAUUAUCCAACAACUUGUAGUUUUGUAAAUUGAGUUCUUUAGAAUUUUAGGGAUUGACCAAUUGCUUAAUUGUCUGUCUAAAUAUUCAGUUAGAAAUCCUUCUUGAUUGAUACUAUCUACUCUUGAGGAGGAA